CCCGAAAACCCUCACCAGGUCUUGACAAUGCUUCUGCAAAAGCUGUAGAAACACCAGUGGAGGUUAUCAGUUGCACAGGUGGUGCAUGGUUGUCGUCAGCUCGUGUCGUGAGAUGUUGGGUUAAGUCCCGCAACGAGCGCAACCCCUUAUUGUUAGUUACCAGCACGUAAUGGUGGGGACUUUAGCAAGACUGCCAGUGAUAAAUUGGAGGAAGGUGGGGACGACGUCAAAUCAUCAUGCCCCUUAUGACCUGGGCUACAAACGUGAUACAAUGGCUGUUACAAAGGGUAGCUGAAGCGCAAGUUUUUGGCGAAUCUCAAAAAAACAGUCUCAGUUCGGAUUGAAGUCUGCAACUCGACUUCAUGAAGUUGGAAUCGCUAGUAAUCGCGAAUCAGCAUGUCGCGGUGAAUACGUUCUCUGGGUUUGUACACACCGCGCGUCA
RNAcentral lists this ribosomal RNA (442 nucleotides) under Periwinkle witches'-broom phytoplasma. Its description in RNAcentral is "bacterial SSU rRNA". It matches the Rfam family "Bacterial small subunit ribosomal RNA", at positions 960 to 1399 of the family's 1533-position model. Lineage: Bacteria; Bacillati; Mycoplasmatota; Mollicutes; Acholeplasmatales; Acholeplasmataceae. The record is from RNAcentral.